Molecule: ribosomal RNA, 433 nt
Filed under: uncultured bacterium
Lineage: Bacteria
Description: partial 16S ribosomal RNA
Rfam family: Bacterial small subunit ribosomal RNA
Source: RNAcentral
AACGAACGCUGGCGGCAUGCCCAACACAUGCAAGUCGAACGAGACCUUCGGGUCUAGUGGCGCACGGGUGCGUAACGCGUGGGAACCUGCCCUUAGGUUCGGAAUAACUCCCCGAAAGGGGUGCUAAUACCGGAUAAUGUCUACGGACCAAAGAUUUAUCGCCUUUGGAUGGGCCCGCGUUGGAUUAGCUAGUUGGUAGGGUAAAAGCCUACCAAGGCGACGAUCCAUAGCUGGUCUGAGAGGAUGAUCAGCCACACUGGGACUGAGACACGGCCCAGACUCCUACGGGAGGCAGCAGUGGGGAAUAUUGGACAAUGGGCGAAAGCCUGAUCCAGCAAUGCCGCGUGAGUGAUGAAGGCCUUAGGGUUGUAAAGCUCUUUUACCCGGGAUGAUAAUGACAGUACCGGGAGAAUAAGCUCCGGCUAACUCCGUG